Molecule: non-coding RNA, 2428 nt
Organism: Paramormyrops kingsleyae
Lineage: Eukaryota; Metazoa; Chordata; Actinopteri; Osteoglossiformes; Mormyridae
Source: RefSeq, a predicted model, not a curated record
AAAAAACAAAAAAACAAAUAAAAAAAACCUCCCCUCCGAUCUCUCGCCCUGCUCGCUCCGGUUCGUCCACUGCCCCGACAGCGACCCGGGAGUUGAUGAUCAGGCUGCCGGAGCUCGGAGACAAAAGACGGCGUGCUUUUUUUCUGUUGUGCUCUCGCUGCGCCGCGCCGCGCCGGACUUGUGUCAUUGUCGCCCUGCCGGAGUGCAGCGGACCGCGCGCCCCCGUCCUGCUCCGUGCGCUACGAGAGACGGGACAGUCCCGAUAUAUUUGCAACUUUUCUAAUCCGUACCAAAAAGAAGUCAAAAUGUUCAUUGGCGGCCUCAGUUGGCAGACGACACAAGAGGGUUUGAAGGAGUACUUUUGCAAGUUCGGUGAGGUGAAGGAGUGCAUGGUGAUGCGGGAUCCGGUUACGAAGCGCUCGAGGGGGUUCGGCUUUGUCACCUACGUCGACCAGGCCGGUGUGGAUAAAGUUUUGGCACAGACCAGGCAUGAGCUGGAUUCUAAAACCAUCGACCCAAAGGUGGCGUUUCCCCGGAGAGCUCAGCCCAAGAUGGUAACCCGAACCAAGAAGAUCUUCGUGGGGGGACUGUCCGUAAACACCACCAUCGAGGACGUGAAGCAGUAUUUCGACCAGUUCGGAAAGGUUGACGACGCCAUGCUCAUGUUUGACAAAACCACCAACAGACACCGAGGGUUUGGAUUUGUGACCUUCGAGAACGAGGACGUGGUGGAGAAAGUGUGCGAGAUCCAUUUCCACGAGAUCAACAACAAGAUGGUGGAAUGUAAGAAGGCCCAGCCAAAGGAAGUGAUGUCACCGACAGGCUCGGCGAGGAGCCGCUCCAGGGUGAUGCCCUAUGGCAUGGACGCCUUCAUGCUGGGGAUUGGCAUGCUGGGUUACCCAGGGUUCCAAGCGGCCACUUACGCCAGCCGCGGCUACACAGGCAUCACCCCCGGGUACACCUAUCAGUUUCCAGAAUUCCAUUUAGAGAGGACCCCCCUUCUGACAUCAUCCCACCCCCCCGAGAUCACAGCCAUUCCACUGACGGCAUACGGACCAAUGGCUGCGGCUGCAGCCGCGGCGGUAGUUCGAGGCUCCACCCCAUCCCGCACAGCAGGGUUUCUGGGCACUAGCAGCCCUGGACCAAUGGCAGACCUGUAUGCAGCAGCCAAUCAGGACUCUGGAGUCAGCAGUUACAUCAGCGCCGCAAGCCCGGCACCCAGCACCGGAUUUGGCCCCGGCCUUGGGGUACGAUUUUGUUCUUGCAUGACUGGAACUCGGAGUUGACUCUGGAGGCGUCCGCUGGGUGUCUGAGCCCCAGAGCACUGUGGCCCAUGCUGGGUGUCUGAGCCCCAGAGCGCUGUGGCCCAUGCUGGGUGUCCACUUCCGGCUCCACAGUCUGUUGGGUGUCCUGCCACCUGUGGGGAUAAGACGGCUCUUCCCUGUGUCCUGUAAUCUCACCUUCUUCUGAAGCAUAAGAAGCCAGCUUAGCUGCAUCUCCCAAACUGUGUUAAAAUCCUUUGAAGAGUAUGAGCUGCAUCCAGGCUAGACCUGACAGGAAAUCACUUAAUUCCUAGUUUGGGUCUCAGUCCUCUUUGAUGGAGGAACCAACAAACAGUCAGUGCCUUUAAUGGGAACGCCCUCUUACCUUCUAUGUCCAGCGGAGUGGAGAUGUUAUGUUUUGCUCACGAUUAAUUAAAUAUAAAUAUGUGUGGUAUAAAAAUUAAAAAUCAUGAGUGACUGCUACUUGAUAUUUGUUUUAAAAUCACCUUGAAGGUUGUUUGGAUGUUAUCUACGCCGUGCGCAGAUGCUUCAACAAGCCCCAACUUGACAAGGUGAUAAUUGGCUGGCAAGUCUAACUGCACGCACUUGCUGUGGGUUUAAUUUGAACCACAGGGCAGCCCUUGGGGUUUACUUCUGAAUCACCAGCACAUUGAGUUGUGCACCCCCUGCUGGGGAGGCGCUGUCCCUGCACAUCCUUAUGUAUGUUCUCCUCCCAGGGUCCUCUGAUUGCUACGGCCUUCACCAACGGCUACCACUGAAGAAGGGUCUCCUGUGUGGAACAUCAGAGAAGUAAAUGCUGCUUUGAGCCAGUGAGAAACGUUGGGUGUCUUCAUUAUGGCACACCCCGAAAGGCCACGCCAGCUGUCACAUGACCUCCCCCCACCCCUCACUCUGCCCCACCCCCAGUUCUACCCAAUGGCAGAAGAGCUUUUCCCACUUCCUGUUUCCUCUACUAACAUCACUACCUGCAUAACAUCCCUUGUUCACAUCCUCACCUACGUAGGUUUAAUCUGUUUUUAAGGUGGCCAGUCUGCCACAUCAACUUUGUUCGAGCGAACAAAAAAACAUGGAACAAAAAAGUUUUUUGUUUUUUUUUUUAAAAAAGAUUGUAAUUUUAUUUAGAAGAGAAGCACCUGCUUUUGUUG